Molecule: microRNA precursor, 80 nt
Filed under: Oreochromis niloticus (Nile tilapia)
Lineage: Eukaryota; Metazoa; Chordata; Actinopteri; Cichliformes; Cichlidae
Description: microRNA oni-mir-10892 precursor
Source: miRBase by way of RNAcentral
UCUUUUCAUCCUUUAUUCUCCCACUUGAUCUCCACGUGGCAGGCCUUUGGAAGCAGGGUGAAUAAUGGAUGAAUGGCACA